AUAGCCUUUCGAAAGAAAGAUUAAUACCCGAUGGCAUAGUUCUUCCGCAUGGUAGAACUAUUAAAGAAUUUCGGUCAUCGAUGGGGAUGCGUUCCAUUAGGUUGUUGGCGGGGUAACGGCCCACCAAGCCUUCGAUGGAUAGGGGUUCUGAGAGGAAGGUCCCCCACAUUGGAACUGAGACACGGUCCAAACUCCUACGGGAGGCAGCAGUGAGGAAUAUUGGUCAAUGGACGAGAGUCUGAACCAGCCAAGUAGCGUGAAGGAUGACUGCCCUAUGGGUUGUAAACUUCUUUUAUACGGGAAUAAAGUGAGGCACGUGUGCCUUUUUGUAUGUACCGUAUGAAUAAGGAUCGGCUAACUCCGUGCCAGCAGCCGCGGUAAUACGGAGGAUCCGAGCGUUAUCCGGAUUUAUUGGGUUUAAAGGGAGCGUAGGCGGACGCUUAAGUCAGUUGUGAAAGUUUGCGGCUCAACCGUAAAAUUGCAGUUGAUACUGGGUGUCUUGAGUACAGUAGAGGCAGGCGGAAUUCGUGGUGUAGCGGUGAAAUGCUUAGAUAUCACGAAGAACUCCGAUUGCGAAGGCAGCUUGCUGGACUGUAACUGACGCUGAUGCUCGAAAGUGUGGGUAUCAAACAGGAUUAGAUACCCUGGUAGUCCACACAGUAAACGAUGAAUACUCGCUGUUUGCGAUAUACAGUAAGCGGCC
This 703-nucleotide ribosomal RNA is filed under the name uncultured bacterium. RNAcentral describes it as "bacterial SSU rRNA". It matches the Rfam family "Bacterial small subunit ribosomal RNA", at positions 143 to 848 of the family's 1533-position model. The record is from RNAcentral.